RNAcentral lists this ribosomal RNA (735 nucleotides) under uncultured Comamonadaceae bacterium. RNAcentral's name for it is "bacterial SSU rRNA". It matches the Rfam family "Bacterial small subunit ribosomal RNA", at positions 94 to 825 of the family's 1533-position model. Lineage: Bacteria; Pseudomonadati; Pseudomonadota; Betaproteobacteria; Burkholderiales; Comamonadaceae. The record is from RNAcentral.
AGUGGCGAACGGGUGAGUAAUAUAUCGGAACGUGCCCAGUCGUGGGGGAUAACGCAGCGAAAGCUGUGCUAAUACCGCAUACGAUCCAUGGAUGAAAGCGGGGGAUCGCAAGACCUCGCGCGAUUGGAGCGGCCGAUAUCAGAUUAGCUAGUUGGUGAGGUAAAAGCUCACCAAGGCGACGAUCUGUAGCUGGUCUGAGAGGACGACCAGCCACGCUGGAACUGAGGCACGGUCCAGACUCCUACGGGAGGCAGCAGUGGGGAAUUUUGGACAAUGGGCGCAAGCCUGAUCCAGCAAUGCCGCGUGCAGGAUGAAGGCCUUCGGGUUGUAAACUGCUUUUGUACGGAGCGAAAAGGCCCUCUCUAAUACGGGGAGUUCAUGACGGUACCGUAAGAAUAAGCACCGGCUAACUACGUGCCAGCAGCCGCGGUAAUACGUAGGGUGCGAGCGUUAAUCGGAAUUACUGGGCGUAAAGCGUGCGCAGGCGGUUAUGUAAGACAGAUGUGAAAUCCCCGGGCUCAACCUGGGACCUGCAUUUGUGACUGCAUAGCUAGAGUACGGUAGAGGGGGAUGGAAUUCCGCGUGUAGCAGUGAAACGCGUAGAUAUGCGGAGGAACACCGAUGGCGAAGGCAAUCCCCUGGACCUGUACUGACGCUCAUGCACGAAAGCGUGGGGAGCAAACAGGAUUAGAUACCCUGGUAGUCCACGCCCUAAACGAUGUCAACUGGUUGUUG